Molecule: long non-coding RNA, 346 nt
Filed under: Nicotiana benthamiana
Lineage: Eukaryota; Viridiplantae; Streptophyta; Magnoliopsida; Solanales; Solanaceae
Description: long non-coding RNA (NBEN_LNC026599)
Source: RNAcentral
AGAGAAAUGAAAGGAUUUUUUUAGCAUUUUUCCACUUUAUCCAAGGAAUCCCUUUCUUGGCAUUUGUAUUUGAGAGAGAGAGCUAUGCUUAGGUCAGUUCCUUCAGUCAACUUUUUUGGUAAGCCAAAAGUGAACUUUAGGUAAGUAAGUAGUCCCGUAUGAAAUUCAUAAAACAUUCAUAUCUGGCACUUGAGGAGGUCAAUCUUAAGUGUUGGAAGCUACUGCUAAGGGACUCCCACUCAUCUAGAAAGGAUAGGCAAUUGAGAGAGAAUAGGGCGAUAGCGACAGACACAGGAACUGAAAUAGAUUAAAAGAUUACUUCCGUAGAGGAGAGGGGAAAGCUGAU